RNAcentral lists this ribosomal RNA (500 nucleotides) under uncultured bacterium. RNAcentral describes it as "partial 16S ribosomal RNA". It matches the Rfam family "Bacterial small subunit ribosomal RNA", at positions 28 to 523 of the family's 1533-position model. The record is from RNAcentral.
GAUGAACGCUAGCGGCAGGCUUAAUACAUGCAAGUCGAGGGACAGCACAGGUAGCAAUACUGGGUGGUAACCGGCAAACGGGUGCGGAACACGUACACAACCUUCCUUUAAGUGGGGGAUAGCCCAGCGAAAUUUGGAUUAAUACCCCGUAAUAUAGUUGAAUGGCAUCAUUUGAUUAUUAUAGCUACGGCGCUUAAUGAUGGGUGUGCGGCUGAUUAGAUAGUUGGCGGGGUAACGGCCCACCAAGUCUACGAUCAGUAGCUGAUGUGAGAGCAUGAUCAGCCACACGGGCACUAGGACACGGGCCAGACUCCUACGGGAGGCAGCAGUAAGGAAUAUUGAUCGAUGGACGCAAGUCUGAACCAGCCAUGGCGCGUGAAGGAUGAAGGUCCUCUGGAUUGUAAACUUCUUUUAUUUGGGACGAAAAAGGGCCUUUCUAGGUCAACUGACGGUACCAGAUGAAUAAGCACCGGCUAACUCCGUGCCAGCAGCCGCCGUAA